GGGGCUAUAGCUCAGUUGGUAGAGUGCUUGCCUUGCAUGCACAAGGCCUUGGGUUCAAUCCCCAGCACCA
Molecule: transfer RNA, 70 nt
Filed under: Ictidomys tridecemlineatus (thirteen-lined ground squirrel)
Lineage: Eukaryota; Metazoa; Chordata; Mammalia; Rodentia; Sciuridae
Also listed under: 1 other name
Description: Spermophilus tridecemlineatus (thirteen-lined ground squirrel) tRNA
Rfam family: tRNA
About the family: Transfer RNA (tRNA) molecules are approximately 80 nucleotides in length. Their secondary structure includes four short double-helical elements and three loops (D, anti-codon, and T loops). Further hydrogen bonds mediate the characteristic L-shaped molecular structure. tRNAs have two regions of fundamental functional importance: the anti-codon, which is responsible for specific mRNA codon recognition, and the 3' end, to which the tRNAs corresponding amino acid is attached (by aminoacyl-tRNA synthetases). tRNAs cope with the degeneracy of the genetic code in two manners: having more than one tRNA (with a specific anti-codon) for a particular amino acid; and 'wobble' base-pairing, i.e. permitting non-standard base-pairing at the 3rd anti-codon position.
Source: Rfam by way of RNAcentral